GACGAACCGUCCUAACGUUGUUCGGAAUCACUGGGCUUAAAGGGCGCGUAGGCGGGUUCCCAAGUCGGUGGUGAAAUCUUUCGGCCCAACCGGAAAACAGCCGCCGAUACUGGGAGUCUUGAGGGAGGUAGGGGUCGAUGGAACUUCCGGUGGAGCGGUGAAAUGCGUAGAUAUCGGAAGGAACGCCGGUGGCGAAGGCGGCCUUCUGGACAGUGACUGACGCUGAGACGCGAAAGCGUGGGGAGCAAACAGG
This 253-nucleotide ribosomal RNA is filed under the name uncultured bacterium. Its description in RNAcentral is "partial 16S ribosomal RNA". It matches the Rfam family "Bacterial small subunit ribosomal RNA", at positions 524 to 776 of the family's 1533-position model. The record is from RNAcentral.